Suricata suricatta (meerkat) is the source of this 532-nucleotide long non-coding RNA. RefSeq lists it as uncharacterized. The transcript has 3 exons. The record is from RefSeq and is a predicted model, not a curated record. Lineage: Eukaryota; Metazoa; Chordata; Mammalia; Carnivora; Herpestidae.
UUGGCCGAAGAUCCUGCUACUCCCGCCUCCGGCCCCGCCCCUCCGCGGCAUUGGCCCAAAGCAAAGCCCCAGCAACUGGGCGGCCAAUCCUCGGCUUCCCAGCGACCUUGCAGAUUCAGUCCUCGCCGCUCACAGGAAGGGAUGUUGACUCAUCCCUCCGGAGAACGGGAGAAGGAUACGGAGAAUUAAGUUGACGGGCAGCGGCGGUUUUCUGUUGAGUAUGUGUGAAGAAUGCAGACCUCCGCUCAGGAAUCCAAGGGGCUGGUGCGAUGAGCAUCUGCUGACAUGGUUGAGAGCACAGAUGUGAUGAGACAGACCCAGGGACCUCCGGACAGGAAUGAAUGUUGAGAUGCUGGCUGGAACCCUCCCAUCCAUGCCGUGGAGUGGAUUUCAUCGUGACUCUCUCAUCCUGAAAGAUCUAACUACAACAGCCAACCACGGCUGUUCAAAACCAUUAUUUGCCCACCUUCUGUGCUGCAGGACCCCAAGCUGGCAAGGGGAGACCUUUUUAUUAAUAUUAAAAAGCAUUCAG